This is a long non-coding RNA of Zeugodacus cucurbitae (melon fly), 1773 nucleotides long. RefSeq lists it as uncharacterized. The record is from RefSeq and is a predicted model, not a curated record. The transcript has 2 exons. NCBI's taxonomy places the organism in Eukaryota, Metazoa, Arthropoda, Insecta, Diptera, Tephritidae.
UGGGAAACAUUUUAUUAAAACAAAUUUUCUUACUCAAGUUACCACUUAAGAAUCAUACACUUUGUUGAAUAUACAAACAAAUAUGCGAGUAUGUAUAGCAACAUUUGAGUAUAUUUGCUGUGUGUAUACACGUACCUAAGUGGUAAUAAUUCAUUAAGGAAUCAAUUUAAAAGCAGGUACUCAAGCCGACAACUGUUUAUUUUUUAAUUGAUUUCCAUUACGAAACCGCUGCGUGUAGCUUUCCUAACUGUAAAAUGAAAUAAAAAACUGUUUGGUAUAUGGUGUCAUUUAUGCGUAAAUAAAAUAAGUUUAUAAAAGUUAAAGUUAUAAUAAAUUUUGUGAAAAAGUGUGAAAAUAACACUCGGCACAACACUCGGCAGGAUAUAAAGAAAUGUAUUCUCCGAAUUUCGAAUUGCCUCCAAUAUCGAAAUACAGUGGAACUUCUCUAACUCGAAUCAACAUAAUCCACAAAAAAAAAACUUCGAGUUAGACACACUUCGAGUUUUUAAAAAUUUAAUGAAAACGUAAAAUUUUCAAAAAGCUGUAAAAUAUAGAUUUACCCAUAGUUUUAGUUAUUUACUUCGCAAAAAGUUUAUUUAAAUACGUUUAAACAACGUUUAUUCUGUAAUUUUGUUUGUUGCACUUUGCUAUUGUUUGGCUCUUGACGUUUGUAUCUCAUGCCUUUGUUACACGAUUUAUGUAACAUCUAUAAGUGUAGUAUCAUAUCUUUUGUUCGCUUCCAUAUGAAUAUAGGGACUCCUUUAAAAUUGUUUCUUGAUAGUAAAAUUUUAAAUUUUGUGUUAUGCCCUGGUGGAAAAGUUUGACUUAUGGAACAAAAUUUGUAUGAAAUUUAACUUCUAUUGCCAAUGGAGAAAUUCGAGGAUAUUUCAUCAUAUCAUUGGUAAAGUUUUAACCUCUGUUUCAAUAUUUUUGUGACAUUUAGAUUAUCUUUUCUAUAACCAAAUUAUAUGAUGGCGUUCAAAACAGCAUUAUUGUGGGCUUUAUCGAUUUACAAACUUUUGACUAUGUUAAAUUAGAAUAAAAUUUAAAUUUAUCAUAAACGUAAACCUUUUCCGUUACUAAAAAAACAUAUUAAACUAAUAGAGGGGUUCGAUCUUUUUCGACUUCAUUAAAACCACAGUUAACACAAGUACUAAAUAUGUAUCAUAUAUUUUAUUGUUCUGAUAAUAAUAAUUAUUAUUGUAUUAAUAUACAGUUUAGUCAAUGUAUGAUUAAGCCGAGUUUUAUUUUACUUAGCACCCUCUUUAUUUGCUAGUUACCCUUAGCACCCUUUUAAGUCACGAUUCUAAUUUGAAUUACAGUAUGAAUACUUAGGCAAAUAUGUAGAUAAAUAAUUUCAGCAUUCAAAUUGAAUUGUUUUUAUUGUAACGUUUACUUUAAAAAAAUAAACUUGGUAAUUACAUGCUAAAUUUAAAUAUUUAUUUUUACACAAUAAUAAAUAUCGCACCCAAUAAUAAAUAACCUAAUAUUAACAUUUGUAUGUAUAAUACUAUAUAGAGUAUAACUAUUCAAUUUGAAUAGGUGGAAUUGUAAAAAAAGCUUUCGUAGGGUAAUUCUUAAUAAGACUAGCUUAAGUGUGCUACUACCAGGAUCACGAGUUCUUAUAAACCCAAUAAUUGGGCAACGGAAUAUUAAAAAAUAUGUCAUGUUAAUAACAUCUUCUAAAAACAAAUCUCCUAGACUAUUAAAGCGGAAAUAUUUUUUUCCAUAGAUGAAACCAUUCUUUAGUGUGUUCUUAUAUGUAGUCUGUUC